UUCAGCUGAUCCGUGGUUUAGGUAGUUUCAUGUUGUUGGGGAUUGGCUUUUUAACGCGGCAACAAGAAACUGCCUUAAUUACGUCAGUUCGU
Pelobates cultripes (western spadefoot toad) is the source of this 92-nucleotide non-coding RNA. Lineage: Eukaryota; Metazoa; Chordata; Amphibia; Anura; Pelobatidae. The record is from the annotation of a GenBank genome assembly.